AGAGAACAGUACUGGCCCAUUGGCGGUAG
Molecule: small RNA, 29 nt
Filed under: Bombyx mori (domestic silkworm)
Lineage: Eukaryota; Metazoa; Arthropoda; Insecta; Lepidoptera; Bombycidae
Description: ovarian small RNA-11914
Source: RNAcentral